AUCUACGGCACACACAAUCAGGCACACGAUAAAUAAAAGAAAAAAAUAAGAUUUUACCCGUUGAGCUCGAACAGAGAAAGCGAAUGAAAAAUAGGAGGAAUGAGUAUUUUCAUGGAAUUUGCAGAUGACUCGGCGGGAAUAUAGUAGAGGAUGACGUGGUCAAAUUUGGGAUUAAUUGGAGAAAGUUUAGCACAUGAAAUGACGAGAUAACUGUGUGUUUAAGGGUUAAAACAGGGCUUAGGGGCUUAUCUGCGAGGAACCAGGAACUUGUUUGUAAAUAUUCUCGGAAGGUGGAAGGGUUGUUCUGUGAAAAGAGUAUGAGAAAGGUGGGACGAUUAUUUUGCGAAUAGGAGAUAGCAGGGGGUUAGAUCAAAAUUGGUGGGUGUUUUUCUCUUCUUCUUCUCGGUUCAGGAACACAGGGAGAUGGGGAGGAGAUGGCUGGCGGCGGACAGCCGGCCGGGCCUCGCCGGUGGCAAGCCGAGUGGC
Molecule: long non-coding RNA, 486 nt
Filed under: Setaria viridis
Lineage: Eukaryota; Viridiplantae; Streptophyta; Magnoliopsida; Poales; Poaceae
Description: long non-coding RNA (SVIR_LNC005025)
Source: RNAcentral